AAUCUGAGGUUAGUGAGCACAGAGCUCUUCUGCAUUUUUUUUCCUUUAACAAGAAAACAGAAACUGUCACUAAGUGACAGUUGGCUUAAGGCAAAACAGAAGAUAGGUAAGCAUUUCCCAGGUCAGAGGUCAGAGAUCCACUCAGAACGAGCUUCUGUAACUCUUCCUUUUUAUCUUUGGAGGAACUAGGGUUGAGGAGCAAAGCUGAGUCCCUUGACAUACACACCAAGGAACAGGACAGGCUCCUGGGUGACAGAACCAGGUCUGCAACUAGGGGAAGGCACCUGGGAGGAAGAAAGGACCUGGAAGAUUUGCCAUCCUGUUAUCCCCAUGGUGACCCCUGGGCUCCAGACAGGGUCUUGCUAUGUAGUGCAGCUGUGUACAUCAGACCUGCCUCUUGUCUUCCAUGUGCUGGGAUCAAAGGACAUCUAUGCUAUUUCUGGGAAAUCUCUGGUCUUACGAGGUCUGCUUCUUCGACAUAAACGUCUCCAACAUAAAAAGCCACAGUUCCCUGAGGUCCUUGGCAGCCAAAGACGCAGACAUGUGAGGCCUUGUUUCAGGAGGCACCUUCGGAAGGAAGUCCUCUCUGUUGAAGACAUCUGUGCUGCAAACAUGGAAGAAACAGAGAAGACAAGAUGGAAUCCUCAGACUGAGUCCUUAUCUGGGAAUCAGCUCUGAGGCUAGCAGGCAGCAAGGAUGCGGCUAAGUCACCUAGCUGCUAGGCAACAGAGCAGAGGUUCCUCCUCAGGCCAGCAUUAUGGUUUUCAGUGUUGUCCAGUGUGACCUGAAGUCAGUCCUUACAGUAACUGUGUGAGACUUCCUGCAUUCUGCUUGGUCUCUUAUGGUUUAUUGAGCCAUGAUUGCCAGCUAUGAGUAUCCGUCUAACAAUUUGAAUAAACUGCUUAAAUGAGGGUCAGUUCUAUGGAGAGAAUUACAGCCACAGAGUAAAAUGGCAUUUUUCUUUGA
Molecule: long non-coding RNA, 966 nt
Organism: Mus musculus (house mouse)
Lineage: Eukaryota; Metazoa; Chordata; Mammalia; Rodentia; Muridae
Product: predicted gene, 46246
Exons: 2
Source: RefSeq, a predicted model, not a curated record